This 952-nucleotide ribosomal RNA is filed under the name uncultured archaeon. RNAcentral describes it as "bacterial SSU rRNA". It matches the Rfam family "Archaeal small subunit ribosomal RNA", at positions 44 to 1000 of the family's 1478-position model. The record is from RNAcentral.
UUAAGCCAUGCGAGUCUAAAGGGUCGCAAGAUCCUUGGCAGACGGCUCAGUAACACGCGGAUAAUCUGCCCUUGGGUGGAGGAUAAUCUCGAGAAAUUGAGCAUAAUACUCCAUAGACAUAAGGUGCUGGAAUGCCCCUAUGUCGAAAACCCCGGUGCCCAAGGAUGAGUCUGCGGCCUAUCAGGUUGUAGUGGGUGUAACGGACACACUAGCCUUCGACGGGUACGGGCCUUGAGAGAGGUAGCCCGGAGAUGGACUCUGAGACACGAGUCCAGGCCCUACGGGGCGCAGCAGGCGCGAAAACUUCGCAAUGUGGGAAACCACGACGAGGGGAUUCCAAGUGCUAAUGUUUUACAUUAGCUGUUCCCGUGUCUAAAAAACACGAGAAGUAAGGGCUGGGUAAGACGGGUGCCAGCCGCCGCGGUAAUACCCGCAGCCCAAGUGGUGAUCGUUAUUAUUGAGCCUAAAGCGUCCGUAGCCGGUCUAGUAAAUCCUUGGGUAAAUCGGACAGCUCAACUGUUCGAAUUCCGAGAAGACUGCUAGACUUGGGACCGGGAGAGGCCAGAGGUACUCCGAGGGUAGGGGUGAAAUCCUGUAAUCCCCGGGGGACCACCAGUGGCGAAGGCGUCUGGCUAGAACGGAUCCGACGGUAAGGGACGAAGCCCUGGGGCGCAAACGGGAUUAGAUACCCCGGUAGUCCAGGGUGUAAACGCUGCAGGCUUGGUGUCGGGGGCCCUACGAGGCACUCGGUGCUGGAGAGAAGUUGUUAAGCCUGCCGCUUGGGGAGUACGCUCGCAAGAGUGAAACUUAAAGGAAUUGGCGGGGGAGCACCGCAACGGGAGGAGCGUGCGGUUCAAUUGGAUUCAACGCCGUAAAACUCACCGGGGGCGACGAUUACAUGAAGGUCAGGCUGACGACUUUACCAGAUUUUUCGAGAGGAGGUGCAUGGCCA